AAUGAACGCUGGCGGCAUGCCUAACACAUGCAAGUCGAACGAAGGCUUCGGCCUUAGUGGCGCACGGGUGCGUAACGCGUGGGAAUCUGCCCCUUGGUUCGGAAUAACAGUUAGAAAUGACUGCUAAUACCGGAUGAUGACGUAAGUCCAAAGAUUUAUCGCCGAGGGAUGAGCCCGCGUAGGAUUAGCAAGUUGGUGUGGUAAGAGCGCACCAAGGCGACGAUCCUUAGCUGGUCUGAGAGGAUGAUCAGCCACACUGGGACUGAGACACGGCCCAGACUCCUACGGGAGGCAGCAGUGGGGAAUAUUGGACAAUGGGCGAAAGCCUGAUCCAGCAAUGCCGCGUGAGUGAUGAAGGCCUUAGGGUUGUAAAGCUCUUUUACCCGGGAUGAUAAUGACAGUACCGGGAGAAUAAGCUCCGGCUAACUCCGUG
This 433-nucleotide ribosomal RNA is filed under the name uncultured bacterium. RNAcentral describes it as "partial 16S ribosomal RNA". It matches the Rfam family "Bacterial small subunit ribosomal RNA", at positions 29 to 507 of the family's 1533-position model. The record is from RNAcentral.